UUUUUUUUUUUUUUAAGAUUUUUUUUUUAUUUAUUCAUGAGAGACACAGAGAGAGAGAGGCAGAGACACAGGCAGAGGAGAAGCAGGCUCCAUGCAGGGAGCCCGACGCGGGACUCGAUCCCUGGACUCCAGGAUCACGCCCUGGGCGCCUUAGGCACUAAACCGCUGAGCCGCUGAGCCACCCCGGUGUCCCACUGGCUCCGUUGGUCUGUAGAGCCUUGAACACACAACCAUGAUAGGUCCUGCUGUGCCUUUCUUGCCCGCUCUCCCCCAACUGUGAGUGCAUCAGGGGUAGGAACCAUACCUGAAUCUUCUCUGUCAUCGCAGGGAUUCUGUGGGAGAUGCCUGGUGAGUGAAUGAAUGAAUGAAUGAAUGAGCAAGUGAAUGAAUGCCUAGGGGACUGGAACUGUGCAGACCCAGUGUACCCCCAACCACACAGGAUGAGGAAGAUAGCACACUGUCUAUACUCGCUCUCGUGGUGGGACAAGUUCUGGGGGGAGGGGGGUAUCAGAUGACCAUUCCUCCUAGAACACAGAGCCCUACAUGGGUUAUGUUCCCUGGUCACACACCAAUCCUCUUGAGAUGAGUAAAAUAAGAGUCUCACACACACUCGUACUCACAAACACCUACUUGUAGCCUCCAUCCAGUCACAUUCUCUGGUCACAUGGCCCCUCUGGAAGACACCAUGCAGUGCACAUUCACUGGUGUGAGCUCCUAGAACCCAUCCCCCAUUUCUGUGGAAGCCACUCCCUAAUUUGUGUUCAGAUGUCCACCCUCCUCCUCUCGGCCUAGCCCCACCUCCAGCUCAGGGCCUUGUAAUUUUGGGACAAUCAGAGGUCCCCACCCCCAGCCACAGAAACUGACUGGGCACUGGGGACUCAGGCCAAUGAGACAAAGGAGAUUUGCUGAAGGGCUUCUGCGAAGGAAGACUUAUGUCCCUCUGCAGAAGUUUCUUUCCGCACAGUGCAGAGCACAGAUGUCAAACCUGAAACUGAUGGGAACCCUGUCCAAAGAUGAAGCUAACACCC
This 1028-nucleotide long non-coding RNA is filed under the name Canis lupus familiaris (dog). Its description in RNAcentral is "lncRNA (ENSCAFG00000056886.1)". The record is from RNAcentral. Lineage: Eukaryota; Metazoa; Chordata; Mammalia; Carnivora; Canidae.